Lolium rigidum is the source of this 1091-nucleotide long non-coding RNA. RefSeq lists it as uncharacterized. NCBI's taxonomy places the organism in Eukaryota, Viridiplantae, Streptophyta, Magnoliopsida, Poales, Poaceae. The record is from RefSeq and is a predicted model, not a curated record. The transcript has 3 exons.
GCUAUAGAUAUUUUGUCCAUUCCAAUUUUCUUUAUUGCUUUAUCCUUUUAUUGAUCUAUUGUGCAUUCUAAUUGUUAAAUAGUAGCAGUAUCCUCUAUUCUUGUGGAUGUUGAAUUAGUAAGAAAUUAUGCACUAUACUGGUGUAUAUCAUUUUCACAAGCAUGUACAACCUUUAUAGACCUUCAGAAUAAGAGAUCGGUUAAACUGAAUUCUAACAUUGUGCCUGUUUUUUCUGUUGUAGGAUACUCCAACAAGGAUGCACAUAUGAACUUUCAUGAGAACAGACAAAUUAUAACUGUAGUUACAUGAAAAGAAGAGGAUGAUUGCGUCGAAAUAUUAUAUAUAUUUCGAGAGUUCAUUGCAAUAAGCAGAGUACCGUGCCUUCAGUUAACUUAUUUGUUCAAAGGAGUGAGAGGGCAUAUACUGCAGAUUCUAAAGGUAUUUUCUACUGUUCAUUUCUUAUUUCCCACAUUAGAAUGUUUAUUCUCAGUUUUGGGAUAGUGCUCACUUGAUCAAUGCAUGUGUUUUUGUAUAUCAUUUUGCUUGAUUCCUGCCCACAACCCAUUCAUCACUAGAGCUUGUCAUGACUGCAUUGUCAUGGACCCUCACAAGGCACCGCCAAUCAAUAGUGUGUCUAGAAAAAUGAUUUGUCGGUCCAUAAAUGGAAGAAGGGUGAAUUGGAGGUUCUGCCCCGCUGGAUCAAUUUGCAAAGGGAUGUGCCUGCUAAUUGGAGAAAGGAGUUUUUCACUCUUUUAACUUAUUCCUGGUGGAGCAUUGGGAAUGAGAGGAACUGUCCUAUUUUUCAGCAAAAGAGUUUCUUGCCCACCUUGGCUGCUGUCAGGAUCAUAGAAGAGCUUGACUUACUUAGUGGAGCGCCCAGGGUUUAAUUUCUUUUCAUUGGCCGCCCUCAUUGACCCCCUUUUUUGUUGCUUGGCCUAGGCCUCAGUAAAUAACUUUGUUCUCUCUCUUCUCUAUAAAGUAUAAAGCGGUGCUCCUGUUGUUAAGGUAAAAAACAUUACAUCCAACGUAUGUUUCUUUCAGCUCAAACAUAAUUACAUCCAAAUGUUAUAUGCUUCCGAACUUGAAUUGAA